This is a long non-coding RNA of Carassius carassius (crucian carp), 1569 nucleotides long. RefSeq lists it as uncharacterized. The record is from RefSeq and is a predicted model, not a curated record. The transcript is spliced from 3 exons. Lineage: Eukaryota; Metazoa; Chordata; Actinopteri; Cypriniformes; Cyprinidae.
AUGCUGAUGGAAUGAGAUGCAAAACUGAUCACUUGGGCCAAUUUCUAUGUGGAUUUUCCAGCCCCCCACCUCUCCACUGAUGACAGGUGCAUAAUAAUUUUGCUCCGGCAGAACAAUUGAGCUGACAGUAGUUUAAGAAACUUGGACAGGACAAAAGGACAAACAGUUUUCCAAAUGAGACACCCAGCCAACAUUACUGCAGACUUUUUAUUAGGAAGUGCAAAGCCCUGGUUUUCAUCAUCCUCUGGAGCAUCGGGGUGAUGGCCCCCAAACGCUCCUUGAGCGGCCUUUCUCUUUUGAUAAAUGUUCUUUCUGGAGGUGGAUCGCGCACACACGCCACCCUAUCGGCGCUGGCCAGGAUCCACGGUGUGUGUGAUUGUUUGCACCCUGGCAUCUCUGCAAGGUAAUUUGCCUUGUUUUUCUGCUUUGAAUUUUGCUAGAAUUUCAGGCCGUCUAAGGCCUAUCUUCUUGUGUCAUUGUAGCCACCCUAUUCUUCUCCUCCUCGCUGCCCUUAUAAAGACAAAAGCUUUCUGCUUGGUGGCUGUCAGACCUGCUCCGACUCAGGCCUGUUGAUGUGUGGAACAGCACUGGCCUGAUGUCUAAACUCACUUACAAUUAAUGUGAAGCCAAGCUAAUUCGAAAGCCGGGAGUGCUGGGAAGACGGACACUUUGACGCUUCCAACUGGAGCUGGAUUUGUUUUUCAUCCCCAUCAUAGGUUCUGUUGAUUUAUGUCCUUUCAAAUCCUGCUCAGAUCAUGGAAAUAAAUCUAGAUAAAUGUGGAUAAGAAAGGGAGUAAUGAAUUUGACUUUUACAAAACAAACAAAAAGAUCUCUGAAAUUAAAAAUGUAAUGCAUGUCAGACCGAAUCAGCCCACAUGCGUAUGUGAUCUCCAGCUGGUGAAGCUUUUAAUAAGCUUACAUAUCCGGCACCGAACACCUGUUUCUAAUUCAUCCUUUCAUGUUCUGGGAACAGAUUACCAACUUUAUGAGAAUGGAGGAGUGCUGCAUGUGUAUGUAGUGUUAAAGUGGCCUUUUGGAUGUCCCGGAUAAAAGGGGCAGCCCCCAUCACAUCCCUCACCAGGCCUGCGUGAGUCCACUGUUCUGCACUGACUCCUGAUUGGAGAUGUGGGGCACAUAUUGGCUCUGAGUUCACCCAGCUGUUUUUUGUCACUCCUCUUCACCAGAUCUGUGCUUAGAUGGGUGCGUCUCCUGUUGGGUGACGGCUUACUGGAGCUGGAAUGAAGAACGGGAUCUUACAGCUCCAACUGGAGCUUAGACAACUUUAGUGCCAGUUGUGACAUAACUGCAUGAAAAACUUUGUCAGCUAUUUUUCUUGUACUUCUUAUGUACUGAUUGGACUGGAUCAUCUUGGCAUGCAAUCUCUCACCAUCUUCAUUGAGCAUGGUGUGAUAAAGUGUCAAGUGAUAAAUCAUGUCUCUUCCAUCGUAAUCUGAUUAUUUGUCCUAACCAGCCCUGAUUGUUGACAUUGUUGUGUAUCAAAACAUUUUGAAGGAUGCUUGGUUUGUGUUUUUGAUGUGUCAUGAUGGGUACCUCUGUCCAGAGUGAAAU